This 30-nucleotide non-coding RNA is filed under the name Mus musculus (house mouse). Lineage: Eukaryota; Metazoa; Chordata; Mammalia; Rodentia; Muridae. The record is from RNAcentral.
UGACACUGGUGCCGGAUCUGCUGUGUGGUU